This 219-nucleotide ribosomal RNA is filed under the name Phyllopsora pyxinoides. Its description in RNAcentral is "partial small subunit ribosomal RNA". It matches the Rfam family "Bacterial small subunit ribosomal RNA", at positions 947 to 1210 of the family's 1533-position model. The record is from RNAcentral. Lineage: Eukaryota; Fungi; Ascomycota; Lecanoromycetes; Lecanorales; Ramalinaceae.
UAAUUUGAUAAUCCGCAAAAAACCUUACCACAGCUUGAAUAUUUAUAUCUUUGAUAUAUUUACAUGUGUUGCACGGCUGUCUUCAGUUAAUGUCGUGAGACUUUGGUUAGAUCCAUUAAAUUAACGCAAGCCCCUACUUUAUUUUUAAAUAAAGUUGUUCCCCAUUAUAUUGGAUAUGAUAACAGGGAUUAAGACAAGUCCUCAUGGCCUGAAUGCUGU